UACGUAGGGUGCGAGCGUUAAUCGGAAUUACUGGGCGUAAAGUGUGCGCAGGCGGCCGCGCAAGUCGAGUGUGAAAGCCCCGAGCUUAACUUGGGAAUUGCGCUCGAAACUACGUGGCUGGAGUGUGGCAGAGGAAGGUGGAAUUCCACGUGUAGCGGUGGAAUGCGCAGAUAUCAGGAGGAACACCUAUAGCGAAGGCAGCUUGCUGGGACGUUACUGACGCUAAGGCGCGAAAGCGUGGGGAGCGAACAGG
Molecule: ribosomal RNA, 253 nt
Filed under: uncultured bacterium
Lineage: Bacteria
Description: partial 16S ribosomal RNA
Rfam family: Bacterial small subunit ribosomal RNA
Source: RNAcentral